Molecule: long non-coding RNA, 4103 nt
Filed under: Zea mays
Lineage: Eukaryota; Viridiplantae; Streptophyta; Magnoliopsida; Poales; Poaceae
Description: long non-coding RNA (ZMAY_LNC002939)
Source: RNAcentral
UGCACCGCUAGGUCCCGUCCACAGCCGCUCACUGCCGCCACCUCUAACGCGCCUAGGACCAUCGCCACCUCCACAUCUAGCUUCUGGAGUCGAGAUCCAUGGUCGACUCCACUGGAGGAGCCCGGAUCUGGCCUACCGGGCACGGUCUCGAGCUUUAGGCAUCUCAGCAGGCAGCGGUGUACUCCGUCAUCGCCCAAUGGAGCAGCCGACCAAGCAAGAACUCUAUCCAUGCUCGUGCCGAGGCGCUGUCUCUACUCUCUACUCCAUCCGUUCUGUUCCCGCGCCUGCGCGUCGUCCUCUACGGAUCCGUCCACUGCCGCGCCAGCACGAUGUGAACCGAGACACGCCUCCGCCUAUGCGUCCAAGACACGCCUCUGCAUUUGCGUCCGUGCACUGGCUACGCGGCAUCGAUUACGGAGUGGAGGCAUGGGAUUAUUAUCUGUUGCAUCCAAAUUUUUAUACACUUUAUUAUGUUCAGAUUUGGAGCCUUGACUCCUGAACCUGAAUAUCAUCUACCUGAGACGAAUUUUAAGGUUGGGAGAUUCCUGGAAUUUUUCACGCGUUAUGGUCGGCAAUAUUUGAUUUUUAUUGAUGAAGAUAAGGAAGCACGCAUAUGUAUUUUUAUCCAGAAACGCACUGCUUAUUACUUAUAUUAAGUACCCACGCAGCACAGUGCUGUACUAAUAAUAUUGCAAGCUUUGUUUGUGUCAAAUCAUGUAUGGGACUUGCGGCAGGGGGAAUUUGUUUUUAAGAAGCGAAAAUCAUUGUCUCUUGAAGCUUCAGUCUUCUCAUCUCCCAAUCUACUGUUACUACUUACACCUUCAUCUAAACGCACUUGUUGUUUCUGGAACGCUAAGAAAUUCAUGUAACAAAUCAUGUGGAAGUUGAUAGAUUAGUUAGCUUAUAAUACCAAUAACCUAGUAGUGCAUUGGUGCAGAUACUAGCUAUGGCAUAUCUGCAAUGAGAAAAAAAAGUUGGUUUUUUAACACACGUCAAAACGUGUCAUUUUUCUAUUAAGAAGAGCACGUGAAGUGGUUCAUUGGGGCCUCCAAUUAGUAAUUAACACCAAUAUUUGUCUCAUGCUAAAUACUGAACUAAAUGUUAAUUUUAUGUCUUUGCAGUUUUUAACUGGGCUCAAACAUGCCUAGUUUCCCAUUUAACAACUAUGAACUCUAGGGUUAAAUACUACACAAUACUAGGAAACAUGUAAUUGUAUUGGAAUAUAUCCAAUUUAUACAGGAUGAUUUACAAAAUGUAGGCUUUAUUUACAACAUGUAAUUGUAUUUGUGCAAAUGAUUCUCUUUCCUUGUUAUCGAUUUUGAGUGGGCAGUAGUGACAUCCCAAUCUUUAAACCCACCACAAUUGGUAGAUCAUCCUAGCAUGAUAGGGCACUAAUCCAUGAACAUUCUUCUGUGGUUAAAUUUUUGGAUGGAACUUUUACAUUAAUCAAUUUCAGCAUACAUUAAAAUACUGUGAACAAAUUAAUAGUGUUUGGAAGACACGUACAUGAGGACCAAUGGGAUUAUUGACGGAUACUUGUCUUAGGUUUUCUAGAAAUUGGUUAGUAAUGUAACUUAGUAUUUCUAGAAAACACUAAUAUAUAUGUUUUGGCUAUGGUGGUCAUUCAAGAAAAGUAUAGUGACAAGCAUAUGUUCCUCCUGCUUUACAAGGAUGUUUGAUGUUAGUUCACUUUUGUCAGAAAGCACAUCCAGCUACUAUUUUUUUCCUCCCAUUGGAUCAGCAUCUUCAGUCUUUUUGUUUAGGCACAUUGUAGUCUUACAAGCCUCCACACUAGAGAUACAUGAUAGAUACUACACAUAUGUAAUGAACCAGAUUCUACAUUACUCUUAACACAAAUUAUAUUUUGAGCGUAUGCAUCUGUAUUUCUAGAAAACAUUAAUAUAACUCAAGACUUCUACAAUACUGUUAACUGCAAUUUAUAUCAAUUUGCAAAAUGUGGCAGGAACAUAGUUUGAUUGAUAUUUUGUUUGAUUAUGGAUAGUCUACCUACUCGCAAUUCUCUACAUAUGAGGACUUGAGGAUUUAGAGCAAGACCUAAAGUAAGUUACUCUGAGGUAUAUACAUUUUGGUCCCCUCCGAUCUGCUUCACCUUCAUCCUUAAUUACAUCCCAAACAUUUAUAAGUCUGAUGUUGCUUAUUAGAGCCUUUUAAAAAAAUUGAAAACACAAGAGAGUUGCAUGUCCUAUUAAAAAGAGGAUGGUCAUAUUGUGGAACUGUUAUUUUGAAACGAAGUGGUCUUAUUGUCUGAACCUGCUAUUUUGAGCUCUGAAAUAUAUGUGAUUGACUAUAGAAUUAUUUCAAGAACAAACUGUUAUUGGCAUUUGUUCUUGCGAGUGUCCAGCAGUAGCAUGCUUGUCACUCUGGUUUGGAAAUAUUAAAAAUUUCAUCUUUGACCGACUGAUAAAGAGUAGAACAAAAUAUAUUUGCAUUUCCCCUAGUCAAUGAACCAGUUCAAUUUACACCAAACAAUUUCUAUACAAAGGUAUACCCUUGAAGGGACACACUUUAUGAUUCCAUGGUUUGAAUGACCAAUCAUUUAUGAUGUCCGUGCUCGACUGAAUCUCGUUGAGAGUACUUCUGGGAGCCUAGACCUUCAGAUGGUAAGUAUAUACAUCACUUUUGUUCAAUUCCACCGGCCUCUCAAUCUUCAUGAUUCAGAGCCUCUUAGUUCUUAUGUAAAUGUUGAUGUUGACUGCUUGAUAUGCAUGCUUUUAUGUCCAUUGGUUAUUGCAUCACAAUGUUCAUCUAAAAUUUGGGCUGACAAACCUGUUUCUUCCUUGACUUAUUGUUCAUUUGACCCCUUAAAGCUACCACUGUCUAUUAUGAUUAUUUCAGCACCAAUAGUUUGUCUGCAGUUUUCAUUGAAAUAUUUAUUCAUUCAAAAGUUGGGACCAAUGAACCUGAUAAAUUCAGAACAUGUUAUGGCUUUGAGGAAUAAAUGCAGUUUUUAUAAUUUAUCGUUUAUGUUUAUAUCAUAAUAUGUCAUUUGUACCCUUGUCUAAGUAUAGAAACGGUUGCUUGUCUUAUGUCAACACAAAUCAAAUUUUGUAGGAUUUGUGGUUUUGUAUAAGGACGAUGAAAGAUUUAAGUGUCCAACAUUUGAUCUUUAAACUUUAGUCAACUAUUAUAUUUUUAGACCAAGAAAUCAAAUGUAUCUUAACAGAUUAAGAAAUCACCAAUGCAACAACUAUUUUGGAUUCCAAGCAAUUUCGGUGUUACAAAUGAGGCUAGCAUCUCACCUGAAGUUCUCAAAAUAUAUUUUUUUCCUGAUCAUGGGUUGUAUCAUUGUCUGAUUGACAUUUUCAUGAUUACUCUAAGGUAUAUACAUUUUAGUCCACUCUGAUCUGCUCCACCUUCAUCCUUAAUUACAUUCCAAACAUUUAUAAGGCGAACGUUGUUUAUUAGAUUCUUUUUUAAAAAAACUGAAAAUAUAGCAGAGUUGUAUGUCCUAUUAAAAAGAGGAUGAUCAUAUUGCCUGAACUUUUUAUUUUGAAACGGAGUGGUCUUAUUGCCUGAACCUGAUAUUUUGAGCUCUGAAAUAUAUUUGAUUGACUGUAGAAUUAUUUCAAGAACAGACUGUAUUGUAGUAACCUUUUUCUCCUGGAGUAUAAUUAUCUGUAUUUGAAUGCUCCUUUUAUAUGAUGAUGAAUUGUUCUACAGUAUCUUUAUUUGCAAAUGUAGCAACAAUAUACUAAUUUGAUGUACUUUUUUCUAGGGUGUUCUGGACAAAGAAAGCUUGUACCUUAAAACAGGAGGAUACAAGAAGCUGGAGUGGUAGUCUGAAAGCUUUUGAACUGCUUGAAGCAUUAGUGUAGCUUUGGUGCUUUUGUGACUGAUCAGCUCUGGAGCAGCUAGAGUGAUGUAGUUGUGGGCUUUUGAACAAUAGCUAGAGUGAUAUGAAACAUUAGUGAUGUAGUUGUGGGCUUUUGAACUGCUUCACGCUGGAGUGAUGUUGUUGUGGUGCUUUUGUGACUGAUCAUUUCUGGAGCUUUUGUGAAUGAUCUAGCUAGCUAACUGUAAAUGAUCUAGUUGUGAAUGAUAUUAUAAUUGUGAUACUUUUGUGAAUAUAUAAUUGUGGUGCU